RNAcentral lists this long non-coding RNA (310 nucleotides) under Capra hircus (goat). RNAcentral's name for it is "lncRNA (ENSCHIG00000004275.1)". The record is from RNAcentral. Lineage: Eukaryota; Metazoa; Chordata; Mammalia; Artiodactyla; Bovidae.
UGGCUGUUAAAAAACCCUGCCUCUUAAGGAAAACAGUGGAACAUGACAGUUGGGAACUACUCAGAAGGGUCUUAACUGUAAUGCGAACCUUGUCAAAAAGAUGAUGUUUACCAUAGGAGGCACUUUACAUGACUAACUUUCACAGGCUAGGAGACAGUUUAGAUCCAGUUUGAAACAAAAUGAAAAGAAGAAAAGAAAGUUUGAGGCACAGCAGGCAACUCAGAACCUUCCAGUGCUGCUGGUCUAUCCGCAGAUACCAGUAUGCUGUGAAAUACAGUUUCAUCUCUAUAUGGUCCCUAUUGAUCUGGAC